This 217-nucleotide ribosomal RNA is filed under the name uncultured bacterium. RNAcentral describes it as "partial 16S ribosomal RNA". It matches the Rfam family "Bacterial small subunit ribosomal RNA", at positions 524 to 740 of the family's 1533-position model. The record is from RNAcentral.
UACAGAGGGUGCGAGCGUUGUCCGGAAUCACUGGGCGUAAAGGGCGCGUAGGCGGUCUGCUAAGCGUGUGGUGAAAGCUCGGGGCUCAACCCCGAGUCGGCCGUGCGAACUGGUGGACUGGAGCCGAUCAGAGGCAGGCGGAAUUCCGGGUGUAGCGGUGGAAUGCGUAGAGAUCCGGAAGAACACCGGUGGCGAAGGCGGCCUGCUGGGAUCGAGC